CAGUCGCCGCGGUAAUACGGAGGGCGCGAGCGUUACCCGGAUUUACUGGGCGUAAAGGGCGUGUAGGCGGCCUGGGGCGUCCCAUGUGAAAGGCCACGGCUCAACCGUGGAGGAGCGUGGGAUACGCUCAGGCUAGAGGGUGGGAGAGGGUGGUGGAAUUCCCGGAGUAGCGGUGAAAUGCGCAGAUACCGGGAGGAACGCCGAUGGCGAAGGCAGCCACCUGGUCCACUUCUGACGCUGAGGCACGAAAGCGUGGGGAGCAAACCGGAUUAGAGACCCCAGUAGUCCCUGUCUCUUAUAA
This 301-nucleotide ribosomal RNA is filed under the name uncultured bacterium. RNAcentral describes it as "partial 16S ribosomal RNA". It matches the Rfam family "Bacterial small subunit ribosomal RNA", at positions 509 to 809 of the family's 1533-position model. The record is from RNAcentral.